GUGGCAGCAGGGCUACCCCAGUAGUUACCCUAUGUGACGUUAUUGAUAUAAUCUGGGACCAUAUAGAACAUGGUUGCAACCAAGGUCCCGUAGUGGCACCAAAUCUUAUGUAAAGGGGGUCAUAUAAAGUGUCUAAGACCAGGUUAUGGGUUGCUGGUUAUGAUUAUGCUGUCUGUAUGCAUGUGUCAUUUUGUAGUUGAAGUUAUGAAUAUUGGCUUUAUACUGUCUGUGUUUCAAACUUAGGCUGUGCUUCUGGGAGACAUCCCAGACAAGUUGGUGUUAGCUCUGCCUAGCCUGCUUGAUGGCCUAUUAAGGAUCAUCAGCUAUACAACUGACCCAUUGAGAGAAGGCAGAUACGCCUUGUAACUCAGCAAAGUGCAGGAGCUUGUCCAUGUGACUCCAGACUCCACUUUGCUGUAAUUUUCCACAGUAAGGACAAAGAGGUUCUUAUACCUGGAAAAGCCUAUAAAAGGCUGAUGCCUCAUCUCCAUGUUGUCUUCAAUCCUGCUUCUUACCUUUGGAGGGACUUUGCUACAAACUGAAGCUCUGAACAAAGGACUGAAUGACCCAUCCCAGAGGGGGAUGUACUCCAGAUACUUGAUUUGAACCUGCAGUUUAUUCUAUCACUGCUACAAGCCUGAACCAAGAACUUUGCCAUCACUGUGGCCAGGGAAUGAGCCUGACAAGACCAUGCAUGCUCCAUGUUGGCGGAAAAAGAAGUCAAGCAACUGGAGUGUUAUCACCCACCACUGACGCACUGAUUUAGCACUCCUCAAUUCUUCCAUCAGCGGCCCUCUGAGCCGCCUCACAAAUGACCGAAGACCCAACAGCCCCGUUCUCCAGGUUCAUCUCCACAGCCUUUGGCAUCUCAUACGCAGUCUUUGCAGAAGUGAUAUUUCUCAGUGCAUCUAGAGCACUGGCAACCACCUUGCCUCAUGCCACACACCCUCCUCACCCCCUUCAGGGGGCAUCUUCUUACCCACUUGGAGUGCAGUAACAGGCAAGUGGGUCCUGGAUGUCAUUCAACAUGGCCAUACGAUCGAGUUCACGGAGCUACCUCCCUCACGUCCCCCGGCCACACCUCAGGGACCAUUCUCGGGGCCGUGUCCUUGUGAUGUUGCACUGCAUACGAUUUUUAUGAAAAUAUGCUAGUGAGUGUGAAUAUAAUGUAAUUGGAAUAUUCUUUCAUGCAAAAGGUCUCUUGUAAGGUAUCAUUACAAAGCUUAUAAUCUACUAAUAUGAAAUAUAACUCUGAGGGCCUAUUGUAAUUAUGCAAAGUGUGGGCCAUUAAUGGUGGUUUUGGACUCUUGAUGGCUCCCAUUAACCAGGACAAUCGACUGUGGAUGGCUCUGUUUGUUUGCAGGCCUUCCUGUGAGUCAGGCUGCGGAAUGAAGGCUUGGGGUCUCACAGGACAUGUGACCAUAUCACCUGGUACUGUCUGGAACCCACCUUAAACCUAGUGUUUUUCCAUUCAGAAGGAGGCAUGGGGACCUAGAGAGACAAAAGAUUCCCGUCUUGUGCCAAAGCUAUAAAAGGGAGUGAAACAGAACAUGGGGGGGGGGGGGGGUGCAGUUAUGAGAAAUCCCCUAGCUACCACCUGAGCUAACAAGAACUGUACCAGGGAAAGGAUUGGGCCCAGACUAGGAAGGAGUCCAAUCUCUGAAAGAAGCUUAUUGAAACAUCUCUGAGGGUGAGAGUUUAUCUGGAUUCAGAGUCCUGUAGCACCUUAUGGACUAACAGAUGUAUUGGAGCAUGAGCUUUCGUGGGUGAAUACCCACUUCAUCAGACACAAGCUUAUGCUCCAAUACGUCUGUUAGUCUAUAAGGUGCCACAGGACUCUGUCGCUUUUUACAGAUCCAGACUAACACGGCCACCCCUCUGAUAUCUGGAUUCAGUUUUCUACUGUAUUAGGCUUGGACUUGCAUGUUUUUGUUUUAUUUUGCUUGGUAACUUGCUUUGUUCUGUCUGUUAUUACUUGAGAACACUUAAAUCCUCUUUUUUAUAUUGAAUAAACUCACUUUUUUGCUUAUUAAUUAA
This is a long non-coding RNA of Gopherus flavomarginatus (Mexican gopher tortoise), 2037 nucleotides long. RefSeq lists it as uncharacterized. The transcript is spliced from 2 exons. The record is from RefSeq and is a predicted model, not a curated record. NCBI's taxonomy places the organism in Eukaryota, Metazoa, Chordata, Testudines, Testudinidae.